CGGGACACGUGGUAUCCUGUCUGAAUAUGGGGGGACCAUCCUCCAAGGCUAAAUACUCCUGACUGACCGAUAGUGAACCAGUACCGUGAGGGAAAGGCGAAAAGAACCCCGGCGAGGGGAGUGAAAAAGAACCUGAAACCGUGUACGUACAAGCAGUGGGAGCACGCUUAGGCGUGUGACUGCGUACCUUUUGUAUAAUGGGUCAGCGACUUAUAUUCUGUAGCAAGGUUAACCGAAUAGGGGAGCCGAAGGGAAACCGAGUCUUAACUGGGCGUUAAGUUGCAGGGUAUAGACCCGAAACCCGGUGAUCUAGCCAUGGGCAGGUUGAAGGUUGGGUAACACUAACUGGAGGACCGAACCGACUAAUGUUGAAAAAUUAGCGGAUGACUUGUGGCUGGGGGUGAAAGGCCAAUCAAACCGGGAGAUAGCUGGUUCUCCCCGAAAGCUAUUUAGGUAGCGCCUCGUGAAUUCAUCUCCGGGGGUAGAGCACUGUUUCGGCAAGGGGGUCAUCCCGACUUACCAACCCGAUGCAAACUGCGAAUACCGGAGAAUGUUAUCACGGGAGACACACGGCGGGUGCUAACGUCCGUCGUGAAGAGGGAAACAACCCAGACCGCCAGCUAAGGUCCCAAAGUCAUGGUUAAGUGGGAAACGAUGUGGGAAGGCCCAGACAGCCAGGAUGUUGGCUUAGAAGCAGCCAUCAUUUAAAGAAAGCGUAAUAGCUCACUGGUCGAGUCGGCCUGCGCGGAAGAUGUAACGGGGCUAAACCAUGCACCGAAGCUGCGGCAGCGACGCUGAUGCGUUGUUGGGUAGGGGAGCGUUCUGUAAGCCUGUGAAGGUGUGCUGUGAGGCAUGCUGGAGGUAUCAGAAGUGCGAAUGCUGACAUAAGUAACGAUAAAGCGGGUGAAAAGCCCGCUCGCCGGAAGACCAAGGGUUCCUGUCCAACGUUAAUCGGGGCAGGGUGAGUCGACCCCUAAGGCGAGGCCGAAAGGCGUAGUCGAUGGGAAACAGGUUAAUAUUCCUGUACUUGGUGUUACUGCGAAGGGGGGACGGAGAAGGCUAUGUUGGCCGGGCGACGGUUGUCCCGGUUUAAGCGUGUAGGCUGGUUUUCCAGGCAAAUCCGGAAAAUCAAGGCUGAGGCGUGAUGACGAGGCACUACGGUGCUGAAGCAACAAAUGCCCUGCUUCCAGGAAAAGCCUCUAAGCAUCAGGUAACAUCAAAUCGUACCCCAAACCGACACAGGUGGUCAGGUAGAGAAUACCAAGGCGCUUGAGAGAACUCGGGUGAAGGAACUAGGCAAAAUGGUGCCGUAACUUCGGGAGAAGGCACGCUGAUAUGUAGGUGAAGCGACUUGCUCGUGGAGCUGAAAUCAGUCGAAGAUACCAGCUGGCUGCAACUGUUUAUUAAAAACACAGCACUGUGCAAACACGAAAGUGGACGUAUACGGUGUGACGCCUGCCCGGUGCCGGAAGGUUAAUUGAUGGGGUCAGCGCAAGCGAAGCUCUUGAUCGAAGCCCCGGUAAACGGCGGCCGUAACUAUAACGGUCCUAAGGUAGCGAAAUUCCUUGUCGGGUAAGUUCCGACCUGCACGAAUGGCGUAAUGAUGGCCAGGCUGUCUCCACCCGAGACUCAGUGAAAUUGAACUCGCUGUGAAGAUGCAGUGUACCCGCGGCAAGACGGAAAGACCCCGUGAACCUUUACUAUAGCUUGACACUGAACAUUGAGCCUUGAUGUGUAGGAUAGGUGGGAGGCUUUGAAGUGUGGACGCCAGUCUGCAUGGAGCCGGCCUUGAAAUACCACCCUUUAAUGUUUGAUGUUCUAACGUUGACCCGUGAUCCGGGUUGCGGACAGUGUCUGGUGGGUAGUUUGACUGGGGCGGUCUCCUCCUAAAGAGUAACGGAGGAGCACGAAGGUUGGCUAAUCCUGGUCGGACAUCAGGAGGUUAGUGCAAUGGCAUAAGCCAGCUUGACUGCGAGCGUGACGGCGCGAGCAGGUGCGAAAGCAGGUCAUAGUGAUCCGGUGGUUCUGAAUGGAAGGGCCAUCGCUCAACGGAUAAAAGGUACUCCGGGGAUAACAGGCUGAUACCGCCCAAGAGUUCAUAUCGACGGCGGUGUUUGGCACCUCGAUGUCGGCUCAUCACAUCCUGGGGCUGAAGUAGGUCCCAAGGGUAUGGCUGUUCGCCAUUUAAAGUGGUACGCGAGCUGGGUUUAGAACGUCGUGAGACAGUUCGGUCCCUAUCUGCCGUGGGCGCUGGAGAACUGAGGGGGG
This 2268-nucleotide ribosomal RNA is filed under the name Escherichia coli. Its description in RNAcentral is "partial 23S ribosomal RNA". It matches the Rfam family "Bacterial large subunit ribosomal RNA", at positions 418 to 2671 of the family's 2925-position model. The record is from RNAcentral. Lineage: Bacteria; Pseudomonadati; Pseudomonadota; Gammaproteobacteria; Enterobacterales; Enterobacteriaceae.